GAAUCUUAACCACUGGACCCCAGGGAAGUCCCUCUUCUUUUAUUUUUAUCUUUCUGUUUUUACCAGAGUAUUAAAGUUUUGAUUUUUUUUUUAAGUUAAAAAAGCAAUCUCUGAAUAUUUCCCAGUUUAAAGAAUACUAACAACAGACAAAUACACUUGCCCAGCCCCUCCUAAUUCAGACACUUCUGAAAAAUAAAUAUGAGUUUUGUGCAUACAGUGUGGUUUUACAUUUGGAAAAUACCUAAUUUUCAUAUUACAUAAAUCAUAUAUGUGUAUUGUUAGACAAUCUGUGUGUUUCCUCCACUUAAUAUAUCCUGGAAAUUGCAGAGGUCAUUCUGUAAAUAGUGUCCACAUCUUUCUUAACUGCCGCAUUUUAUUCUACAGUAUAGAUAUUCCAUGAUUUAUAGAGCUGUUCAGAGUGGUAUGCUACAAAUAAUGGAGCAGUAAAAGAUUGACUUAGUACAUGCAUCUUUGUGCACCUGUGUAUUUUUAUCUGUGAUUAAACAUACAGAAGAUGAGCUGUUAUUAGAGGGUAUUUUUAAUGUAUAUUAUACCUCCUCCAAAAUGCUCUGUCUCCUUAUGUUAUUUCCAUCAGUGAUGACUGAGAAGACCAUGCUCCUUUCUCCAUAUUCUAGCCAAAUGGUGAUCAAAGUUUGUUAUAAAAUAUUGAGUCACUGGGGUGUUGUGACUUGAAUAUUAUUGAUCUGUAAGAAUGCGGUGAGUGUUGUGGUCAGGUCAUCACUUGAGCAGUGACGCCCCCCCGCCACCUCCAGGAGUGGCUGUAGAUCUCCAGUGACACUUUCAAACCCCAACAGGUAGCUUGUUAAUUCACCAAAACCUUGCUUUGUUGGAUCUUUCCUAAUGAGCUGGCUCUUAAUUAAAUGGAGCAGUAUGUUAAGUUUAAAUCACAAUGGAAACCAGUCUGAGUUUCUUAAAAUGUUUUGGAAACAUACUGUUUUUAAUGUGGUUACUUCUAAAUUGUGUUUGAGGGCCUUGCCCUAGGAAUAAAAACCAUACUUUGUGAUAAUUUUAGAAAGUGUCACAAAGUCUGGCCAGUUUGGAUUCUAAGUCUGUCAGAGGAAAUAAACACCUGUGGUGAGACCAUAGAAAAACAAAGUAGAAGGUAGGUUAUUUCCUCAAUAAGCCAGUGGAUGGCUGGGCUGUUCUUGUUUCCAUUUAGGGUUUUACUCUUGCCUGCAGCCUGAUGGAGUCAGAGCUAUCGUGUUCCCCACUUGGCAGGUGAGUCCACCGAGGCAGACAGGAAGCAGCCUGCAUGCUGGGGAUACAGCCAGCAUGUAAGGGGUAAGGGGUAAGCCAGACAAAUGCAUGUGAUGAAAGUCUGCCUAAUUCCAAUUCCUGACCCGGGAUCAACAAAUGUGACCCACCACCUGCUUUUGUACAGCCCACCAACUAGGAAUGGGCUUUAUUUUUUUAAAUGGUUGCAUUUUAAGGGAUUAAAUAAAUGCCUACAUUGUCUUAAUUUUGCCUCUUGCCCCAUAGAGCCUAAGAUGUUUAAUAUUUAGCCCUUUACAUGAAAAUUUUGCAAUUUCUUCUCUUGACUAUUAGUCCUUAACUACCUAAGACUGAAAAGAAAUACCUUCACUCAAGUGGGGAAGUUGGCUAGGCUAGUGGUUCUCAAAUAUUAGCAUGGGUCAGAAGCACGUGGUGGGUAUGGGGUAAGUUCUAACAGAUUUCUGGGCCUAUCCCUGAGGUCUGCAGUGGGACCACAGAAGUGGGAGUCUAAUCCUUUCCCAGGGUUGGACUCUGCUGGGCCUGGACCACACUAGGAGCACUAAGCAAGGGGGAUGGAGUGGAAUUAGGGAUAUUGGCCAUGGAACUGUGAGAGGGUCUCAGCCCGGUUAUUUGCAGUUGCAGCCCCUCCAAAUUAGGGCCCUAGGCUUGUAGACUGACAAAAUGUGCAUUCAGCAAAGGCUUCUGUGUUGAUGAGGAAGAAAUUUAACCUGUAUUGGCAACAGCUGUCUGAAAGUGGAGAUAGAGCUUCAGAACUUCAACUUUUUCAUUCAUUUAAUCAUAAAUAUUGUUGAAGAUAUAUUUAAACAUCUUUGUUAUCUAAGGGAUCAUUGGUAUUAAUUAACUGAUAAUUUGCUAUUUGCUAAGCUCUGUACAGAACUUUUAUAAUAAUCCUAUGAAGUUAGAUGAUCGUGUUGUCACUUUAAAAGGAAGGAAGGACUUCCUUGGUGAUCUACUGGUUAGGACUCUGUGUUUUCACUACUGAAGACAUUGGUUCUAUCAUUGGUCAGGAAACUAUGAUGUCGCAAACCAUGGGGUGUGGCCAAAUAUAAGAUGUAAGAAGGAACUUCCUGUCACAGUUGGGUGGCAAGUGGCCACAAAUAAUUUAGACUCUUGUUUACGAUACAGCUCCCUCCCCUGCAUUCACCCUCCACCGUGGCUACCACAUGAGAAUCCUGUCUAUCUCUUUCAGCUUAGAAAAAUGUUGUUCUGGGGGGAAAAAGGGCCCAUUUGGCAAAAUGUUGUUAGUAUUAUCCUUUUCUUAGAAAAAGCUUCUGUGACUACCGUAACUGUCAUAAUUAUUUUCAAAACUUUGAAUUACAGAAAACUCUUUACUAAGAAAAAAUACACCAUACACUCAGAGUUUGCAGAUGUGAAUAUGUUGUCACUGUUUGUGUGGUCAGGCCACUCAUGAUGGCUGUUCUCUUGCUCUCUGUCCAUCCGUGGCCCACCCAGUGUCUGCUUCACCUCUGUCUUACACACCUGGUUGACCUUCCUGGGUACCUGCCACAGACCCCAGCUGGUGAUUGUUCUUAUCAAAGGGUGGUGAGCUGCACGCUUCCUUACUGGUUUCCCUGGUAACUAAUGAGCCCACCUGAAGUCAGUGUCAGUUCCCUUCUAACUGGUAAUCCAGCCUCUGCCUCCAUCCCUCUGGGAGAGAAGACUGCCGCCAUGUUCCUGCCGCUGUCUUGCACGAGAUGAGAAACUAGGACCCCAGUUCCCUGGACCAAAGGCAAGAAGACCCAGAACUUGAGAGAUCUCUGCCUCAAAACUAGUUCUGCUGCUGCUGCUAAGUCUCU
Bubalus bubalis (water buffalo) is the source of this 3050-nucleotide long non-coding RNA. RefSeq lists it as uncharacterized. NCBI's taxonomy places the organism in Eukaryota, Metazoa, Chordata, Mammalia, Artiodactyla, Bovidae. The record is from RefSeq and is a predicted model, not a curated record. The transcript has 2 exons.